AGAGAAUAUAGAGCUAUCAAACAACUUUAUCGACCUUAUUUGUUCAGAAAGCUGUAAAAAUCUGCUAUCCAAUGAACUGAGGACGGCCCACUCAAGACAUUUGAGGAACUCGUUCCAACCUUCAGCAUCGGGGGUCCCAAAUCGAACAUAGUCUAGUCGUACGCAAUGAUUAAUAUUUCCAGUAUUAAAAUCUCCGCGAACCCUAUCAAUGGUCGAUUUUACAGCGAAAUAAGAACUAGAUCGAGAAUGAGUGCGACGCAAACUGUUGGAGCGUUUUGCUUGCUGAGCUUCAGCAACAAGUACAAUCAUCCAAGAUUGAUUUUCGUUUUUCGAAACUUUUUGGAACCAUUUUGUAGCCAAUGGCUUAUGCUGUGUUUUGUAUAUUUCACCGUCCUUUUUUUACAAUGUUAGUGCGUGUCAAUCAGAAUAACUAUGGAAGCUGAUGGUAGGUUACAAGGUCAACUUUCCUUACUGUACUUACCUGCUCUGGAAGAAAAAGCAUGUUUACUAAAGGAAUAUUCAGUAACGUAGGAUCCUUUGAGGUGUCUUGAGACGAAAAUUCCUCUAACCAAGGCAAAAAUUCAAGAUCUAAGCUUGUAAUAGUGUGCUUCUUAUACUGAUAUGAUUCAACCCAUUGCAAAUUGCGAAGGGGAAUCUUACUCUCAAUGUCCGUAGCUAUUGAGGGCCAUAAGUCAAAAGGAUCAUAAUCUAAACAGCACUUCAUUAGCUCACAAUUAAAAGAGAAUAUUUCACUUACAUUGAACUAUAGGCUUCUUUUUACUCAUUAGUAAGAAAAGCCGGAAUUGUAAAGUCCUAAAUUCUUUACAAUGAUUAUCUUAAGAGUUUUGUUGACAAUUGAGUCAUAUAAACGAAUGGUGAGCUAUGCUUAGUGUUGUGACCGCAAAUCGCGUUAAUUGGCUUAUGGAAUCUUUAUGGCUUGUUAUGUAUAUUUAAC
Non-coding RNA from Schizosaccharomyces pombe (fission yeast), 955 nucleotides. The record is from the annotation of a GenBank genome assembly. NCBI's taxonomy places the organism in Eukaryota, Fungi, Ascomycota, Schizosaccharomycetes, Schizosaccharomycetales, Schizosaccharomycetaceae.